UCCCUGUUAAUCUAGUGGUUAGGAUUCGCGGAUUUCACCCGCGCGGCCCGGGUUCGAUUCCCCGACAGGGAG
This 72-nucleotide transfer RNA is filed under the name Hofstenia miamia. Its description in RNAcentral is "tRNA-Glu for anticodon UUC". It matches the Rfam family "tRNA". From Rfam's summary of the family: Transfer RNA (tRNA) molecules are approximately 80 nucleotides in length. Their secondary structure includes four short double-helical elements and three loops (D, anti-codon, and T loops). Further hydrogen bonds mediate the characteristic L-shaped molecular structure. tRNAs have two regions of fundamental functional importance: the anti-codon, which is responsible for specific mRNA codon recognition, and the 3' end, to which the tRNAs corresponding amino acid is attached (by aminoacyl-tRNA synthetases). tRNAs cope with the degeneracy of the genetic code in two manners: having more than one tRNA (with a specific anti-codon) for a particular amino acid; and 'wobble' base-pairing, i.e. permitting non-standard base-pairing at the 3rd anti-codon position. The record is from RNAcentral. Lineage: Eukaryota; Metazoa; Xenacoelomorpha; Acoela; Hofsteniidae.